UGUACACAGCUGUGGGAGCGAAAGGAAGAAGGGGAGAAGAUGGAAAAAUCCUAUUGCACCAGAUGUGGACACAGACUGCAGGAGCUGCAGAUUAUAUUAGAAAUGCAUAAAAAAAACAGGAUCGUCAGACAGCUGAAGGAGAAGCUGUCCGUGCCUGGAUCGCUUCGGCUUUUAUAGGAUUCCCCCUGCGUGUGUCUCUCAGCUGAACUGUCCUGCAGAAUGAAUUCAUGAAAAUAAACAUUAAAAAUGA
Seriola aureovittata is the source of this 250-nucleotide long non-coding RNA. RefSeq lists it as uncharacterized. Lineage: Eukaryota; Metazoa; Chordata; Actinopteri; Carangiformes; Carangidae. The record is from RefSeq and is a predicted model, not a curated record. The transcript is spliced from 2 exons.